This 501-nucleotide ribosomal RNA is filed under the name uncultured bacterium. RNAcentral describes it as "bacterial SSU rRNA". It matches the Rfam family "Bacterial small subunit ribosomal RNA", at positions 899 to 1397 of the family's 1533-position model. The record is from RNAcentral.
ACUCAAAGGAAUAGACGGGGACCCGCACAAGCAGCGGAGCAUGUGGUUUAAUUCGAAGAUACGCGAAGAACCUUACCAAGGCUUGACAUCCCUUGAAAGAUAUAGAGAUAUAUUCCCCUGUAGCAAUACAGGCAAGGAGACAGGUGGUGCAUGGUUGUCGUCAGCUCGUGUCGUGAGAUGUUCGGUUAAGUCCGGCAACGAGCGCAACCCUUAUGAUAUGUUGCCAAUAUUCAGUUAGGAACUCAUAUCAGACUGCCGUGGAGAACACGGAGGAAGGCGGGGAUGACGUCAAAUCAUCAUGCCCCUUACGUCUUGGGCUACACACGUGCUACAAUGGGCGCAACAAAGAGCAGCGAACAGGUAACUGCAAGCGAAUCUCAAAAAAGCGUUCUCAGUUCAGAUUGAGGGCUGCAACCCGCCCUCAUGAAGCAGGAGUUGCUAGUAAUCGCGAAUCAGAAUGUCGCGGUGAAUGCGUUCCCGGGUCUUGUACACACCGCCCGU